This 301-nucleotide ribosomal RNA is filed under the name uncultured bacterium. Its description in RNAcentral is "partial 16S ribosomal RNA". It matches the Rfam family "Bacterial small subunit ribosomal RNA", at positions 509 to 807 of the family's 1533-position model. The record is from RNAcentral.
CAGUCGCCGCGGGAAUACGGAGGGAGCUAGCGUUGUUCGGAAUUACUGGGCGUAAAGCGCACGUAGGCGGCUUUGUAAGUUAGAGGUGAAAGCCUGGAGCUCAACUCCAGAAUUGCCUUUAAGACUGCAUCGCUUGAAUCCAGGAGAGGUGAGUGGAAUUCCGAGUGUAGAGGUGAAAUUCGUAGAUAUUCGGAAGAACACCAGUGGCGAAGGCGACUUACUGGUCCGAUACUGACGCUGAGGUGCGAAAGCGUGGGGAGCAAACAGGAUUAGAUACCCCCGUAGUCCCUGUCUCUUAUAC